This is a long non-coding RNA of Quercus lobata, 290 nucleotides long. RefSeq lists it as uncharacterized. NCBI's taxonomy places the organism in Eukaryota, Viridiplantae, Streptophyta, Magnoliopsida, Fagales, Fagaceae. The record is from RefSeq and is a predicted model, not a curated record. The transcript has 3 exons.
GGCAAUAACAAGCCUCACCCUCAGCAGCAUGUGCAGCUACACUUGGCUUCAAAGCUCAACGCCACCACCACCGCCAUCACCACCACCUCGGCUGAGUGUUUGUUGCUAUUCUUCUACUCAGCUCUCUGUUCACAAAACCUUGACACACAUUCACAGUUCUAGUGUCAUAGCUUGCCUUCGUGCCAACAGCUGGAGAUUGUGAUGUCUACCCCAGGUUUGUUUAAGGUUCUUCAACAACUAGUGCAGGAGCAUCCUACUACAACCUUAGGAGUAAUUCUUGUUAGGUUCUA